Molecule: ribosomal RNA, 463 nt
Filed under: Lumbrineris sp. C ZW-2021
Lineage: Eukaryota; Metazoa; Annelida; Polychaeta; Eunicida; Lumbrineridae
Description: partial large subunit ribosomal RNA
Rfam family: Bacterial large subunit ribosomal RNA
Source: RNAcentral
CUGCCCAGUGAUACAGAUUAAACGGCCGCGGUACUCUGACCGUGCAAAGGUAGCAUAAUAAUUUGCCUCCUAAUUAGAGGCUGGUAUGAAAGGAUUUACGAAAGUAUAGCUGUCUCUACUAAAAAUAUAAAAACUAAACAUCAGGUGAAGAUGCCUGAAUUUAACUAAAGGACAAAAAGACCCUGUUGAGCUUCAUCUACAAAAAUUCAUUGAAUUUCACAAGAUUUCGUUGGGGCGACUAAGGAAAAAACAAAGCUUCCUUACAAAAAAGAACUUAAUUCACACCAAUGACCUGCAUAAAGCAAUCAACAAAAAAGCUACCACAGGGAUAACAGACUAAUCCUCCUCAAGAGUCCAAAUUGACAGGAGGAUUUGGCACCUCGAUGUUGGCUUAAGGUCUCCUUUAAGUGCAGCAACUUAAAUGGUGGGUUUGUUCAACCCUUAAAACCUUACGUGAUCUGAG